UACGAAGGGGGCUAGCGUUGCUCGGAAUUACUGGGCGUAAAGCGCACGUAGGCGGCUCUUUAAGUCGGGGGUGAAAUCCUGGAGCUCAACUCCAGAACUGCCUUCGAUACUGAAGAGCUUGAGUCCGGGAGAGGUGAGUGGAACUGCGAGUGUAGAGGUGAAAUUCGUAGAGAUUGGGUGGAACACCAGUGGCGAAGGCGCCUGCCUGGCUGACAACUGACGCUGAGACUCGAAAGCAUGGGGAGCAAACAGG
This 253-nucleotide ribosomal RNA is filed under the name uncultured bacterium. RNAcentral's name for it is "partial 16S ribosomal RNA". It matches the Rfam family "Bacterial small subunit ribosomal RNA", at positions 524 to 776 of the family's 1533-position model. The record is from RNAcentral.